This is an RNA transcript of Oryza brachyantha (malo sina), 1166 nucleotides long. RefSeq lists it as uncharacterized. The record is from RefSeq and is a predicted model, not a curated record. The transcript has 3 exons. Lineage: Eukaryota; Viridiplantae; Streptophyta; Magnoliopsida; Poales; Poaceae.
GCGUUUGUCAAAGCAAUUAAGCAAGUGAGAAGACACAGAGGGCAUGCGUGGAGUCCGAAGAAAGAAGACUAGUCCAGCUGCAGGGUCAGACAUUCCACCGAUUCGGCCGCGGCGGCGGGAUGGAGUGGGCCGAUGAGUGGCUCGCCGCCGACAAGCUGCAGCACGUCAUCGCCUGCUUUCUCAUCGUCCUCGCCGGCGCGGCGCUCGCCGGACGCAGCUCCAGAUCCUCCCUCCGCCGCCGCUCCGCCGCCCUCGGCUGCGCCGCAUCCCUCGCCGCGGGCGCCGCCAAGGAGAUCGCGGAUGAGGCUGGCUUCUUUGGGUCCUCGGGCGCCUCCCUCAGGGACGCCGCCGCUGACCUUCUGGGCUCCACGAUGGCCGCCGUCGCGCUCGCCAUCCUCCGCCGCGUCCGCCAGCAGCGCGUGGAGGGCAAGGCGCGCGAUGCGGGCCAUCGAGAUGGCAUCUCUAUGGUCUGAAGAGCGAACCACGAGGCAGAGAGGCCUCUGUUAGCUGCUUCUGCUUUGAAAAUAGAUCGUUCUGAUAAUGUACUCAGAGUUGCUUCAUGAGCUGCACUGGAUUUCACAACCACAUCAGGAUAGCCUCCCUGCCAGUGAGACAAUGACAAGUGUUUCAGUGGCUGAAAUGCUAUCAUCAUUCAUCGGCGGCAAGAUCUGUGGGUAAUUGCAUUGAAAAAUAUAAUGCAUGGAUGCUUCAGAAAAAUUGCGUACCUUUGCUUGAAGAUUCAAGAUGAAUUGAUGCAAAGGACCCAUCUGCUUCUCUGGGAUUAUCUAGUUGACCUCAAGCUGUGACAACCGAACAGUCAUGAUUGAUGGCAAAGCUCAAGGGAAGCUCAAGGGAUAGAAUAGAUCUGUUAAUGCCUAUGUUGGAGGUGAGACUAAAUUUGCAGCGUGACUUUGGCAAGUUGCAACCAUUUGCUAACUGGAGAUAGCUGUUGAACUCAGGAAAAUUGUGUCAGAUAUUAUAUAUGGUAUCAACAGCUACAUAAGAAAAGUUGACCAUAUUGUAUUUUAAAUUUUUUCUUUCUCAUAAUUUUUUAAUUGAAGGCCGAUGAAUAUUUGUGCCUCUAGAGCAUCCACAACAGCUCAUCUAAAUUUAAUUAUCCAUAUUUUCAUUUGGAUGAUCAUCUAAAAUAGUUUCAUCCUUCAUAU